GAUGAACGCUGGCGGCGUGCCUAAUACAUGCAAGUCGAGCGAACGGACGAGAAGCUUGCUUCUCUGAUGUUAGCGGCGGACGGGUGAGUAACACGUGGAUAACCUACCUAUAAGACUGGGAUAACUUCGGAAACCGGAGCUAAUACCGGAUAAUAUUUUGAACCGCAUGGUUCAAAAGUGAAAGAAGGUCUUGCUGUCACUUAUAGAUGGAUCCGCGCUGCAUUAGCUAGUUGGUAAGGUAACGGCUUACCAAGGCAACGAUGCAUAGCCGACCUGAGAGGGUGAUCGGCCACACUGGAACUGAGACACGGUCCAGACUCCUACGGGAGGCAGCAGUAGGGAAUCUUCCGCAAUGGGCGAAAGCCUGACGGAGCAACGCCGCGUGAGUGAUGAAGGUCUUCGGAUCGUAAAACUCUGUUAUUAGGGAAGAACAUAUGUGUAAGUAACUGUGCACAUCUUGACGGUACCUAAUCAGAAAGCCACGGCUAACUACGUG
Molecule: ribosomal RNA, 496 nt
Filed under: uncultured bacterium
Lineage: Bacteria
Description: partial 16S ribosomal RNA
Rfam family: Bacterial small subunit ribosomal RNA
Source: RNAcentral